CCCAGAAAGUGCAGAAGCCACAGUUGAGCGUCAAUAAAUCGUAACAAUCUUAUGUUUUAGCCAACUAUGAAAACGACGGAAGAGGAGGAAGAGGAGACGGAGCGGGCUAAACUAUUCUCCAAGGCAAAACAAAAAAGUCCCCAAGUUCUCGAGUUCUCAUACGCUUCGCGGCACAGAGAUGUGUGUGUAGUAAGUGUUUGCAACCCCUUUACGGGAGGGGCGGUUUCGUUCCGCGCGCGCACCCGAGUUUAUCGCGCUGUACCCGUACGGGGUGGGCGAGUUUGACCUUCGGUGAGAAUUUAUAGCCAUUUUCCUGUACGCUGUGUCUCGGGGUUACCCCACCGCUUUUGUGCCGGGCAGACAAGGUGAUAUCUUGUGCCGAAGCCGUCUUGCCCAUGCCAUCCAAAAUAGGGCCUCACCCCGCGCAAAGUUCCUGUUCGCACUGCUUCAUCGCUCGAGCGUAAAUGAAUGUGUAAGUGCAAAUUCUUCCCCCGAGUGUCGGAAUAUCUAGCCCACCGAUGUGGAAGAGCAGGCGGUGAAUUGGGUGAUGGGUAAUUUAAUUUCCCGCACUUGUUUUUUUUUUUGCUGUUGUUGACGUUUCCUUGCUUUCGCGCACCAAAGCACCAAACAGAAGCUGCGAUACCGUCAUCAGGCCCCAGAUACCGCAAGACGAUCCUACCGAAACCGUUGCCAGGAAGUUGUCUCCAAGCUGUAGGUCUAUCAAUAGUGGAACCAAAAACCGCACAGUGUGUUCCUGCUGCACGACCCCGUAAUCGUACGGUUGAUGUUUGACUCGAUAGGGGUUAAGGGAUGAUGGUUACGGUCGUCUGGCAGCCAGCCCGCCAGCCAGCCAGCCAGCCAGCCAGCCAGCCAGUGAUUGAUUUUUCCACCGGGGAUACUUUGGGAUGCUUAGCGCACGGCGGGAACAUACAGCCACGUGCCCACAGAUUGGUUGUGAUGGACAGCAGGUGAUGAAGGACAGGGUGCAAUGUGGUCGCGCGAAUGGUUGAGCGUUUUUACUUUUUGCUAGACUUUUUGCUAAUAAAUCACGGCCAUCUUUUUUCGUUCCUCUUACUGAAGCUUCUGAAUAAUGCAGUCGGUGGAUUUGGUGCGGGUGCGGCAUUUUUGAUGGAAUAUUCAGUAAGGUGUUCGACCACGUUCGGCAUUUAAAAGGUAGUAAAAUGCAUUAAAGAACUAGAGAAGAUUGAUGGAAUAUACUGGAACAUAUGCAGUGAAGUGAAU
Long non-coding RNA from Anopheles arabiensis, 1242 nucleotides. RefSeq lists it as uncharacterized. The transcript is spliced from 3 exons. Lineage: Eukaryota; Metazoa; Arthropoda; Insecta; Diptera; Culicidae. The record is from RefSeq and is a predicted model, not a curated record.